This 789-nucleotide ribosomal RNA is filed under the name uncultured Staphylococcus sp. RNAcentral's name for it is "bacterial SSU rRNA". It matches the Rfam family "Bacterial small subunit ribosomal RNA", at positions 129 to 904 of the family's 1533-position model. Lineage: Bacteria; Bacillati; Bacillota; Bacilli; Caryophanales; Staphylococcaceae. The record is from RNAcentral.
CCUAUAAGACUGGGAUAACUUCGGGAAACCGGAGCUAAUACCGGAUAACAUUUGGAACCGCAUGGUUCUAAAGUGAAAGAUGGUUUUGCUAUCACUUAUAGAUGGACCCGCGCCGUAUUAGCUAGUUGGUAAGGUAACGGCUUACCAAGGCAACGAUACGUAGCCGACCUGAGAGGGUGAUCGGCCACACUGGAACUGAGACACGGUCCAGACUCCUACGGGAGGCAGCAGUAGGGAAUCUUCCGCAAUGGGCGAAAGCCUGACGGAGCAACGCCGCGUGAGUGAUGAAGGGUUUCGGCUCGUAAAACUCUGUUAUUAGGGAAGAACAAAUGUGUAAGUAACUAUGCACAUCUUGACGGUACCUAAUCAGAAAGCCACGGCUAACUACGUGCCAGCAGCCGCGGUAAUACGUAGGUGGCAAGCGUUAUCCGGAAUUAUUGGGCGUAAAGCGCGCGUAGGCGGUUUCUUAAGUCUGAUGUGAAAGCCCACGGCUCAACCGUGGAGGGUCAUUGGAAACUGGGAAACUUGAGUGCAGAAGAGGAAAGUGGAAUUCCAUGUGUAGCGGUGAAAUGCGCAGAGAUAUGGAGGAACACCAGUGGCGAAGGCGACUUUCUGGUCUGUAACUGACGCUGAUGUGCGAAAGCGUGGGGAUCAAACAGGAUUAGAUACCCUGGUAGUCCACGCCGUAAACGAUGAGUGCUAAGUGUUAGGGGGUUUCCGCCCCUUAGUGCUGCAGCUAACGCAUUAAGCACUCCGCCUGGGGAGUACGACCGCAAGGUUGAAACUCAA